Passer domesticus (house sparrow) is the source of this 4051-nucleotide long non-coding RNA. RefSeq lists it as uncharacterized. The transcript is spliced from 6 exons. NCBI's taxonomy places the organism in Eukaryota, Metazoa, Chordata, Aves, Passeriformes, Passeridae. The record is from RefSeq and is a predicted model, not a curated record.
UUUUCCUGAACUUCGGUCUUCUGCAUUUUCUUGGAAAUUUUCACACCCCAGUCAAAGUCCCAAGGAUGGGCUUAAAGCCACCUGCAAGAUUCAUGCUUAUGCUUUUGGUUAUUCAUUUAGCUGUGGAUCAGAACUGAGGUAUCCAGUUGCUGCUUGGAUGAACUGAGUUGAGGGUUUCCACUGGGGACUGGAUCCUGCACUUUGUGGCACCACCUGUGGGUAAAAUCCCUGCUGGGUGCACACCAGUAAAUGACCUGGGAGGCAAGAGAAGCCGAGGUGGUACUGCCACAUUCUACCCCACCUCUCUUCUGCAGUUCCUAGACUGAGUAAAAAAUGCAGCUCCUUUUAUACAGUGCCACAUCCAAAAGGAAAAGUGUAAAACUUUACUGAAGUGGAAUUUAAUGAGCCACCCACAAAACACACCUGAGGAGGCCUGGGCAUUUCUAAUUUUCUAGCUCGGCUAAUUUUCUAGUCACCUGCUCAGUGUGGCUGCCACUGGUGCAGCUGAGCUUCUCCACUGCUGCUUCCUCAUAACCUCAGCCUGAAUUCACCUGGCUCAUCCCUGGUCAUCUGAGAGGUUUGGUUUCACAUGGAUACACUGAAUUCAGCACAGCAGUGCCAGAUCAAAUUUUCUCAAGGAUUUUCUGGUCUGUGGAUCUACUAGUAUGGGUUUCCAGUGACCAACUUCUAGCAAGACUCCACAGUUGCUCUGCUCUCAGCACUGCCUGAUAACAGGAGAUUUGUGAAGACAUCUCUGUGCAAAAAAAGAGGGCAGUGGACAGAAAGAAGCUUUUCACAGUGACUCAGAAUUAUAUCAGUGAAAAGGAUCAUUUCACGAAGAUGAGAACAUGGAUCAGCCAGGCACUUUCAAAACAAAGAACUGAAACAAACCAAUUAGAAGGGAGAAAUGUUACAUUGAGAGUAUCAUGGAAGAGAAAAAGUGUUCAUGUAACGGAAGUGUUAUGUGAUUUGAAAUAAUGCAGUGGCGCAUUUGACCCACUUCCCAGCUUUUGCUGAUGUUGAGAAAUCAACACAGGACCUCAGAAGAUUUGGUGAAGAGGUGAAUUUUGAAGAAAAAGCAACCUCUGACAUAAGUGGGCACUGGGACCAUGAGCAAGUCUUCACUGAGCAGUGGGCCUUGUGAAUAAGACAUGAAAAGAGGAUUGUGGAUCCUGAGUUGUAAAAUCCAGUCAGAUCAGGAAUUUAUUAACAGUGGAGUGAUGAAACCUGCUUUUCAUGUCUCAAGGCUGGUGUUUCCAGUGGAUUUCCCCAUGUGUCAUAAGGGUGAGAUAAGAUCCAUCUUCAUUCUUCCCUUUUGUAAGGAUACUACCUUCAGCCCAGAUACUUAUUUUCUGAAAAGUUCCAAACUAGAAACGUGUCUAUCUGAAACUGUUCAAUGGGCUCUGGGACUGUAGCUGGCAAUGCAGAACGAGCACAAACACCUGCAGAAUGUGUACUCAGCAACUUUGCACCUUUGGAGAACUGGCUAUAACGACAGAGCUACUAAAGAUCAGUAAAGGACCUAAAUUGAAAACAAAUUCUGAUGUCUUUUGAAUGAAUAUUUUUCCCUUUGAAAAGGCAGAAAAUACAAUGCACAUGCAUUGCCUGGAGAUUCAUGCGUGAAUCAGUGCUAAACGAGUGGAUGACAUUUAUUGUGGAAGUCUAACACAUUUUCUGUACAAUGAUAUCAGAGAGAGGGUUGCUGGUACAGCUCCACUGCUGCUGGGCAGUGCCAAAGUGCUAAUGCAAAGUCCUGCUGUGACCACUGGUGCCUCAAUAUACAGAAUCACAAAAUCACAGAGUGGGUCAGGUUGGGAGGGACCACAGGGGGUCAUCUGGUCCCACCUCCCUGCUCAAGCAAAGUCAUGGUAGAGGACAUGGCACGGGAUUGUGCCCAGACACUUCUUGAAUACCACCAGGAGGGACACUUCACAACCUCUCCGGGUAAUCUGUUUCAGUAGUCAGUCACACGCACAGUAGAGAUGUUCUUCCUCAUGUUCAGGUGAAACUUCCCACGCACCAACUUCUGCAAAUGAAGCUGGUGAAGUAUCUGGAGCGCAAGUCCAAUGAAGAGCAGCUGGGGGAGCUGGAAUUGUUUAGUCUGGAGAAAUGAAGGUUUACCAUGCUUUACAACUAUCUUGAAUAAGGCUGUAGAUCUGUAGAUAGGUGGGAGGUUGAUCUCUUCUCCCUGCUAACAAGUGAUAGCAUAAGAGGAAAUGGCUUCAACUGCACCAGUGGAGGUUUAAAUUGGAUAUUAAGAAAGAUUUCUUCAGUGAAAGGGUGGUCAAGGAUUUGAACAGGCUGCCCAUGGAAGUAACAGAAUCACUGUCCCUUGAAGUUAAAAAAGGUUUAAUGCUGGACUUGCAAGUGAUAGUUAACAGCUGGACUCAAUGAUCCAAGAGAUCCUUUCCACCCUCUAUGAUCCUGGGCUCUUAGGGAUGCACUGUUCUUGAGCUUGGAGGAAGUAGUGCUUGAAUAUUGACUAGCCAUCUUCCCUGCAGGGCUGGUUCCCAUGGGAUUCUGUGUGAUCUUCCAAGAAGGUCACUGAAAAUCAGCUCUCCUGAACUGCAGGGUUGCAUUCUUACUUGCUGCCCUUCCUCCCCCAUGCAAGAUACUGAAUCUCAUGGCGGUUGCAGCCAAGGCUGCCCCCAGCCCUCACAUCUGCAACAAAACCUUCCCUGUUUGGUAGUACGUGGUCAAACAGCUCGCCAUUACUCAUUUUUUCCUCCACCACCUCUGUCAGGAAGUAGUGGCCAACAAUUUCCAGAAACCUCCUGGACUCUUUGUGCUUUGCCAUGUUGUUCCUUCAGCAGACGUCAGGGUGGUUGAAGUCCCCCACAAGAGCCAUUGCCUGUGACUCUGUGGCUGCUUCCAGCUGUCCGUAAAUGGCCUCACCUACUUUCUCCCCAUGAUCAGAUGGCCUGCAGCAAACACCACACAGUCCCACCCUUACCAGUCUGCUCUUUAAACCCAGCCUAUAAACUCUUGACUUGCUCAUCAUCCACCCAAGACAGCUUGAUUCAAUCCAAGUGUUGAUUCAAUUCAAUCCUCGUCACAUAAAAACUCCAGCUCUGCCCCUCCCAGGUCUGGGUUUCCUGAACAGUGUGUGGCCCCUCACACAAGAUAGAGCAGCUCUAAACAACGACAGAUAGCCCUGUGCUUUAAAUGCCAAAGAAAUAGCUACACUAGAAUUCAUACUUUGCCCCACUGUUGUUAGCAACAGAAAGGUUUUGCUGCAAAAAUUAAAAUUAGCAUGGACACAGUCUGGUAGAAUUGUAUUUCUUCUGGUUUUGAGAAUGAUGUAAGUUCUCUUUAAAUGAUAGACCUACAACAUCAUAUUCAGAGAGGUUCUUAGCAUAAAAAAUAAAUACACACCAGUGCACAAUGCAUACAAGAGAAUUAGUUAGCUGACCAGUGCACAAUGCAUACAAGAGAAUUAGUUAGCUGACAUUUAUAGUAUAUAAUUAUGUGAACUUCAAUGAGCAAAUUCAGGUGCAUGUGUGUAAUGAAAAUGUGUUUAAAAAGCUUGGCCUCCUGUCAGUCUUCUUCUCCAGGGAAUGCAAUGGUAUAUCUGGAACAGCCAGGCUAAACAGUGGGGAAAUUGCUUUUCAAACUUGUGCUUGCAAAAAAUGUUUUUCCACGAUGUGCAAAUCAAUUUGCUUUUGGGGGUGCAAGGAUGCAAAAAAAAUGUUUUCCUUCAAAUGAAAAUUUUUUAAAAAGUGACUCUGCAGCAGACUAAUCAGUUUGCUAUCUAAAAUGUUUUGUUUCACGCCUGAUUUCUUUUCUAAAUGUAUAAAUACCAGCUAGUGUUUUAAAGCUUCUGUAACUGUGAAUGGCUCUGCUGUCCCUCACUGCAAGCUACAUUUUUAUUACUUCUUCCCAAGAAAUUUAUUUUGCUGACAUAGGCCCUAAUCCAGUAAAGUGUUAAAACAUAUGCUUAAUCUUAAGCGAGUUGAAUAAAGCCAACAAAACUUUCCUAUGCCUAAAUCUAAGUACAAAUUUGUGUUUGGCUUAGCUGGGGUUAUAGUUUCUGGGUUAUGGUUUAGAGGGC